RNAcentral lists this ribosomal RNA (1029 nucleotides) under uncultured bacterium. RNAcentral's name for it is "bacterial SSU rRNA". It matches the Rfam family "Bacterial small subunit ribosomal RNA", at positions 506 to 1533 of the family's 1533-position model. The record is from RNAcentral.
UGCCAGCAGCCGCGGUAAUACGUAGGUGGCAAGAGUUGUCCGGAUUUAUUGGGCGUAAAGCGAGCGCAGGCGGUUUUUUAGGUCUGAUGUGAAAGCCUUCGGCUUAACCGGAGAAGUGCAUCGGAAACCGGGGGACUUGAGUGCGGAAGAGGACAGUGGAACCCCAUGUGUAGCGGUGAAAUGCGUAGAUAUAUGGAAGAACACCAGUGGCGAAGGCGGCUGUCUGGUCUGCAACUGACGCUGAGGCUCGAAAGCAUGGGUAGCGAACAGGAUUAGAUACCCUGGUAGUCCAUGCCGUAAACGAUGAGUGCUAAGUGUUGGAGGGUUUCCGCCCUUCAGUGCUGCAGCUAACGCAUUAAGCACUCCGCCUGGGGAGUACGACCGCAAGGUUGAAACUCAAAGGAAUUGACGGGGGCCCGCACAAGCGGUGGAGCAUGUGGUUUAAUUCGAUGCUACGCGAAGAACCUUACCAGGUCUUGACAUCUUCUGCUAACCUAAGAGAUUAGGCGUUCCCUUCGGGGACGGAAUGACAGGUGGUGCAUGGUUGUCGUCAGCUCGUGUCGUGAGAUGUUGGGUUAAGUCCCGCAACGAGCGCAACCCUUAUUGUCAGUUGCCAGCAUUUAGUUGGGCACUCUGGCGAGACUGCCGGUGACAAACCGGAGGAAGGUGGGGAUGACGUCAAAUCAUCAUGCCCCUUAUGACCUGGGCUACACACGUGCUACAAUGGACGGUACAACGAGUCGCGAAACCGCGAGGUCAAGCUAAUCCCUGAAAGCCGUUCUCAGUUCGGAUUGCAGGCUGCAACUCGCCUGCAUGAAGUUGGAAUCGCUAGUAAUCGCGGAUCAGCAUGCCACGGUGAAUACGUUCCCGGGCCUUACACACCGCCCGUCACACCAUGAGAGUUUGUAACACCCAAAGCCGGUGAGGUAACCUUCGGGAACCAGCCGUCUAAGGUGGGACAGAUGAUUAGGGUGAAGUCGUAACAAGGUAGCCGUAGGAGAACCUGCGGCUGGAUCACCUCCUUUCUAA